GCUGAUGUAAAUUUGAGUUUUUGAGGGGCCUAAGUGAAUUUUGUUGCUUUAGAUGGUCUAUAUCGCCAUUUCACCCUCUUCUCUUCUCAUUUCUCCCCUUCAUACCUAUUAUAGAGAGAGAAGAAGAGAGGGAGAAGAAGAGGAAGAAGAAGAAGAGGAGAAGGAGACCAAGCUUGGAGGCCUUGAAGCUUCAACCCUUCUCUCUUUCUCACCCUUUGGAGGCUUGGAGCUUGCUAUUGGAGCCUUGUGGUGGAUCAAUCUUCAACCUAGGAGAAUUUUGGACUUGGAUUGGAGCAUCCUAGAGGUAUGUGGCUAGUUUCCUUCCUCUAGGUUUGGAUUUUGUUGCUCUAUGUUGAUUGAAACCCUAGAUUUGGAUUUUAGGGUUAGAUUUGGGGAUUCUUGAUUUGGGGCUUCUUGAUCUCAUUUGAAUGGUUUGGAACCUUUGCAUAGGUUAGAUUGGAAGACCUCUACCUCCCAUUUGAGGAUUAAGAGAGGGUUUUUCACUUGAGGUGAGUUUUUCCAACCCUAGCUUGAGAAGCUUAAUGAUUGAGCUUAGCGUUGUUCAUUUCGAUUAGGUGACACUUGUUUUCAUACCUCUAGGGUACUAGGAGGCUAGAGGACACCUUCGUCGGAGCAAACGAAGGAUUUCGUUUACCGUUGGUGGGUUUGACUUCAUGAAAACGAGGCGAAAUGGCCCCUAUGCUUUCUAAACUCUUCGUAAAGUAUUUUUGAAUGCAUUUCUAUGCUAAUUGGAAUUUAUGUGAAUUUUAGAACACCUAAAAUGCAUGCCUUAUGUGUAAGUUAAAUUUCACUCUAUAUAGUAGAGUAAUCAUGGGUAUUUUCAUGCAUGUGAGGAGUGUUCAUGUGGACAAAUGGGAUUCUCGUCUAGUAUGCUAAUUUAGCUCAUAUUCGUGUAUUGGAAGCAUUAUACUAAGUUUGGACUUAGUAGCAUAAAAUGUCAUCAAGAGGCAAUUGGAACUAGUAAACUAUGAAACUGCAACAUAGAAGCAUAAUGUUAGGCCAUUGUAUAUCUGCUAUAUAUUCCAUGUUAGAGACAUGAUGACAUAGAGAUAGGCCUUUGGGACAUACGAUACAAUCUAUGUUAUUAUACAUGAGGAUUUGGUACUUGUGACUGGACUUAUGACUACUUGCCAUUGUGCUCAUUCGCACAUGCUUGUGAGGGUCGCUCCCUACAAGCCGGCACUCCGGAGAUAGCCAUCGCGAUUCAUAUUCGCCGUGCGGGACUGGGCGCCGAAGUGGAUUGCCGUGGGCCAGGCUCAUUCCUAGGGUGGGGAUGAUGACUACCACCGGGCCACUAGGCUCGGCAUCGGCCAGACAGCCUACGGGCGGGUCUCAGGGCCAUAGACGGCCUUCGGGUAGGUCUCUUCAGAUUUGACUUGAGUAUUCACUAUGAUAUGUGAACCUUAAAACUAUUAAAGUGGACUUGGACUAGAAUAGUAAAUAAUGACACCUUUACUAUUUUCGCAUUGAGGACAUCGGAUUGGUUGCAU
This 1511-nucleotide long non-coding RNA is filed under the name Ananas comosus (pineapple). Its description in RNAcentral is "long non-coding RNA (ACOM_LNC039915)". Lineage: Eukaryota; Viridiplantae; Streptophyta; Magnoliopsida; Poales; Bromeliaceae. The record is from RNAcentral.